This 292-nucleotide ribosomal RNA is filed under the name uncultured Conexibacter sp. Its description in RNAcentral is "partial 16S ribosomal RNA". It matches the Rfam family "Bacterial small subunit ribosomal RNA", at positions 505 to 796 of the family's 1533-position model. Lineage: Bacteria; Bacillati; Actinomycetota; Thermoleophilia; Solirubrobacterales; Conexibacteraceae. The record is from RNAcentral.
GUGUCAGCCGCCGCGGUAAUACGUAGGGGGCAAGCGUUGUCCGGAAUCAUUGGGCGUAAAGAGCGUGUAGGCGGCUUGGUAAGUCUGCUGUGAAAGUCCAGGGCUCAACCCUGGAAAGCCGGUGGAAACUGUCAAGCUAGAGUCCGGAAGAGGCGAGUGGAAUUCCUGGUGUAGCGGUGAAAUGCGCAGAUAUCAGGAGGAACACCAAUGGCGAAGGCAGCUCGCUGGGACGGUACUGACGCUGAGACGCGAAAGCGUGGGGAGCAAACAGGAUUAGAUACCCUUGUAGUCC